AGAGUUUGAUCCUGGCUUAGAAUCAACGCUGGCGGCGUGCCUAACACAUGCAAGUCGAACGAGAAAGUGGAGCAAUCCAUGAGUAAAGUGGCGACCGGGUGAGUAACACGUGACUACCUACCCUCGAGUGGGGAAUAACUCCGGGAAACCGGGGCUAAUACCGCAUAACAUCGCAAGAUCAAAGCAGAAAUGCGCUUGAGGAGGGGGUCGCGGCUGAUUAGCUAGUUGGUAAGGUAACGGCUUACCAAGGCAAAGAUCGGUAUCCGGCCUGAGAGGGCGCACGGACACACUGGAACUGAAACACGGUCCAGACUCCUACGGGAGGCAGCAGUGGGGAAUUUUGCGCAAUGGGGGAAACCCUGACGCAGCAACGCCGCGUGGAGGAUGAAGCCCUUUGGGGCGUAAACUCCUUUCGACCGGGACGAUAAUGACGGUACCGGUGGAAGAAGCACCGGCUAACUCUGUGCCAGCAGCAGC
RNAcentral lists this ribosomal RNA (477 nucleotides) under uncultured bacterium. Its description in RNAcentral is "bacterial SSU rRNA". It matches the Rfam family "Bacterial small subunit ribosomal RNA", at positions 8 to 518 of the family's 1533-position model. The record is from RNAcentral.